ACGGGUGAGUAAUACCUAGGAAUCUGCCUGGUAGUGGGGGAUAACGUUCGGAAACGGACGCUAAUACCGCAUACGUCCUACGGGAGAAAGCAGGGGACCUUCGGGCCUUGCGCUAUCAGAUGAGCCUAGGUCGGAUUAGCUAGUUGGUGAGGUAAUGGCUCACCAAGGCUACGAUCCGUAACUGGUCUGAGAGGAUGAUCAGUCACACUGGAACUGAGACACGGUCCAGACUCC
Molecule: ribosomal RNA, 234 nt
Filed under: uncultured bacterium
Lineage: Bacteria
Description: partial 16S ribosomal RNA
Rfam family: Bacterial small subunit ribosomal RNA
Source: RNAcentral